UGAUAAGGUAGAUUCUGAAUCCACCCAGUGA
Molecule: non-coding RNA, 31 nt
Filed under: Rattus norvegicus (Norway rat)
Lineage: Eukaryota; Metazoa; Chordata; Mammalia; Rodentia; Muridae
Source: RNAcentral